CACAGCCGGGGUAGGUGCGGUAGUGCGGCGUCUGAUGCGCGCAGAGAGACGACAUUCACAAGGCUGGACGGACACGCAUCACAGAAACCGGAAUGCACACAAAAUGAUGCGUCUACGAGCCGUGACAAGCUGCUUCUAGUGAAGAAAACAGAGAAACAGCAAACGCGACCACCGGAAGCUCCCCUGUCCAGAUUGAAGCGCUCGCGCAGGCAGUGCAUUUGCCGCAGGAAUCAUCCCGCCGAUGCGCUUCAGCUGUGCAUGAAUCCCUCCGUUUGGUUUGCAGGUCCAGGACUAAACCGGGCGGCGUUGACGACUGUGUGUGGUGGAUACCGAUUGUGAGUGCACCUUAUCUGCGUCUCCGCAUACCCCUUUGGCACUUCCUCCAGGAUGGCGUUAACGAUCUGCACGAGAUUUACCGACGAAUAUCAGCUGUUUGAAGAGCUGGGAAAGGGUGCAUUCUCUGUGGUCAGGAGGUGUGUGAAGAUCUCCUCUGGACAGGAAUAUGCUGCCAAAAUCAUCAACACCAAGAAGCUUUCCGCCAGAGAUCACCAAAAGUUGGAGAGAGAGGCGAGGAUUUGUCGUUUACUGAAGCACCCCAACAUUGUACGACUCCAUGACAGCAUAUCAGAGGAGGGUUUCCACUAUCUGGUGUUUGAUCUAGUGACAGGAGGAGAGCUUUUUGAGGACAUCGUAGCCAGGGAGUACUACAGUGAGGCUGAUGCCAGCCACUGCAUACAGCAGAUCCUCGAGAGUGUCCAUCACUGCCAUGUUAACGGGAUUGUCCACAGGGAUCUGAAGCCUGAGAACCUUCUAUUGGCCAGUAAGCUGAAGGGGGCGGCGGUCAAGUUGGCUGACUUUGGGCUUGCUAUCGAGGUGCAGGGGGACCAGCAGGCAUGGUUUGGUUUUGCCGGCACUCCGGGUUACUUGUCUCCAGAAGUUUUGAGGAAAGACCCAUACGGGAAGCCAGUGGACAUGUGGGCCUGUGGUGUGAUUUUAUACAUCCUUCUGGUGGGAUACCCUCCCUUCUGGGAUGAGGACCAGCACCGCCUUUAUCAACAAAUCAAGGCUGGGGCCUAUGAUUUCCCGUCUCCAGAGUGGGACACUGUUACUCCUGAGGCCAAAGAUCUGAUCAACAAGAUGCUGACCAUCAACCCCAGUAAACGCAUCACUGCCGCUGAGGCGCUUAAACAUCCUUGGAUCUGCCAACGGUCCACUGUAGCUUCCAUGAUGCACAGGCAGGAGACUGUGGAGUGCCUGAAGAAAUUCAAUGCCAGGAGGAAACUGAAGGGAGCCAUAUUGACCACUUUGCUGGUCACAAGAAACUUCUCAGCAGCCAAGAGUUUGCUCAACAAGAAACAAGACGGUGUUAAGGUCAACAACAAAGCCAACAUAGUGACCAGUCCUAAAGACACUGGCCCUGCCCCUGCACUGGAACCACAGACAACUGUGAUCCAUAACCCAGUGGAUGGAAAUAAGGAAUCUAUUGAGAGUGCCAACACCACCAUAGAGGACGAGGAUGUGAAAGCCUGCACCAAUAACAAUAAAGCCCGCAAACAGGAAAUUAUCAAAGUCACUGAACAGUUGAUUGAGUCUAUCAACAAUGGAGACUUUGAGUCCUAUGCCAAGAUUUGUGAUCCUGGUCUAACUUCCUUUGAGCCUGAGGCCCUUGGAAACCUGGUGGAAGGACACGACUUCCAUCGCUUUUACUUUGAAAAUGCCCUAUCCAAAGGGAAUAAACCAGUGCACACCAUCCUCCUGAACCCACAUGUGCACCUCAUUGGUGAGAAUGCAGCGUGUAUUGCCUAUAUCCGACUCACCCAGUACAUGGAUGGCGGCGGCAUGCCUCGCACCAUGCAGUCUGAGGAGACCCGUGUGUGGCACCGCCGAGAGGGCAAGUGGCAGAACAUCCACUUCCACCGCUCCGGCUCUCCCAGCAUCCCUUCCCAAUCUAAUAUGGAAAAAAUCCAGUGAAGAUUUGAGUGGGGGUCUAAGAAAAAUCUGGUUAAGAAUUGCAGGCUCGUCAGCCUGCAUGAAGGUAUUGCACAGCAGCUGUUGUUUAACUCUCAGCAAUCAUGGAUUUUCUAAAUUCCUAGGGUUACAACUUAGACACAAUUAAUGGAAUAUCAACAUGUUGAAAAAACAAAAAGAAAAAAAAAAAUCCCAUCAGCAAAUCUAGCGGGGCAGUCAACUAGCCAACCCAUGACUCCCCGUGUGAUCUUUGACCCUCCUAUAAGGACAUGACAUCGCACAGGACAAGUAUCAAUAUGUUUUACUGUUAUGGCAUUUUAUUAAUGGACAUCAUUCGAAACCACCGCCGGGUGGCUGCACACAGUAUUUGGACAUUAUGAAACAAGCAUAUUGACAACAUAUUUUUUGUUUGUUUUUUAAGAUGUUUUGGUAUGCAUUUUAAAUAUAAAAUAGAGAUGUUUAAAAAUCUACUACUGUAACCUCUCCCAAAAAUUAGUUCUGUAUUUUUAUGUGUAUUUCUGUGUGUGCAAUACAAAAAAAAAAACCUUUGGAAGAUCAGAAUGUUAAAAUUAAGCUUGCUUUAGUUCUGGUGAUGUAUAUACAUUGUGAUUGUUGAUAAAAACAAAAACAAACAUUGAAAUUGCUAUUCUUGCUAACAGAGGAAUUAAGAGUUUAAGUAAAAUCCAGUUUAUGAGCUACAUUUAUGUUUGCUAUGAGCUAAAUCAUACUGUUUGAACCGUACAAUUUCAACCUAUAAUACUAAUUUAAAUGUAAAGAAAAGCAGAGCAGCUUACACUUUGCAUUGAGAUAUGUUUGCCUUUAUAUCAGUGAAUUAAGAAAUAAGAGAAUGUAGCAUAUAUGUAAUAUAUGAAAAUCCAAGACUAUUGUGUAGUGCAUGGGGGGAUUAUUGUAAGUAAGAUCAUAUGAAACUAUAAUAUCUUAUGUUUGAUUUGUGAAUCACUGACUUGUUUGUUUGCAUUCGUUAAUGUUGUGCAUCAGUCCUGUCCCAAAUGUUUCUAAUGUCCUCCAGUAUCAUGGAACUGUUGUGAAAACAAUAACAUACUUAUGGUUAACAUCCAGCUUAAAUAUCAGAACCUCAUAUCUUAGAAGAGGAAAAAUAAACUCCUGGUUGCCGAAGCACCCCUUGCAUUUUUUAUAAAAAUGAGAAGCAAAGAAGCUCAUUUUUCAUAAUGUUUGUACUUGUAUUGUAGGACUGUAUGUAGGGUUUCUGUUGUCAUUUUAUUCCUGUCAUUUCCAGUGUGUUACUUCGCCAAUUGCACAGAAAAGGUGGAGAUGAUGAAGAUGGAGCAAAAGCACUACAGUGUCUACUUAGGAGGUGUUAACCUGGCGGUCUGGAAGCGUUGUGAAAGCGUUGGAUUGAAGAGUGUUGCAGUCAGAUGGAGGAUGGUGUGACAGCAGCAAAGAAGAGUUGGACUGCAGAAAAAGUUGGGAUGUCUUCCUUGACCAUCAGUGCUUCUAACAGCCAGUGGUCUUUGAACCGCUGCAGGACAAUGCCAGUGUCUUUGUCAUCCUUACUGUUUGCUCUUUUCAAUUGGUUGGUCUCUUUUUUAAGGGAAAAAUAUGAUUAACAUUUCUUUUGACGAAACGUAUGAUGUCAAUGCAAUGCACCACUCCUUACAUGGUGUGUACCCGUUGCCAGCACGGCGAUGGAUGGCUUAACAUGUUUAUGAAAUAAAUAAAUCAGCUCAAAGGUG
Molecule: RNA transcript, 3683 nt
Organism: Cheilinus undulatus (humphead wrasse)
Lineage: Eukaryota; Metazoa; Chordata; Actinopteri; Labriformes; Labridae
Gene: camk2d2
Gene name: calcium/calmodulin-dependent protein kinase (CaM kinase) II delta 2
Exons: 23
Source: RefSeq, a predicted model, not a curated record